This 83-nucleotide transfer RNA is filed under the name Candidatus Obscuribacterales bacterium. RNAcentral describes it as "tRNA-Tyr". It matches the Rfam family "tRNA". Rfam says of the family: Transfer RNA (tRNA) molecules are approximately 80 nucleotides in length. Their secondary structure includes four short double-helical elements and three loops (D, anti-codon, and T loops). Lineage: Bacteria; Bacillati; Candidatus Melainabacteria; Candidatus Obscuribacterales. The record is from RNAcentral.
GGGCAGAUGUCCGAGUGGCUAAAGGAGGCAGACUGUAAAUUUGCUGGCGAAAGCCUACACUGGUUCGAAUCCAGUUCUGCCCA